UACGUAGGGUGCGAGCGUUGUCCGGAAUUAUUGGGCGUAAAGAGCGUGUAGGCGGCCAUGUAGGUCCGGUGUGAAAACUCGAGGCUUAACCUCGAGAUGUCAUCGGAAACCAUUUGGCUAGAGUCCGGAAGAGGAGAGUGGAAUUCCUGGUGUAGCGGUGAAAUGCGCAGAUAUCAGGAAGAACACCAAUGGCGAAAGCAGCUCUCUGGGACGGUACUGACGCUGAGACGCGAAAGCGUGGGGAGCGAACAGG
Molecule: ribosomal RNA, 253 nt
Filed under: uncultured bacterium
Lineage: Bacteria
Description: partial 16S ribosomal RNA
Rfam family: Bacterial small subunit ribosomal RNA
Source: RNAcentral